GUCACGUAGUUACCCAAAGUUCCCGCUACAGAACAUUCCAUAACCUGAUUGUUGUCUACAAGUAGCAAGAGUGUCUUCAACAAGUUAAAUGUAAAAUAUACUCACUGUACCAGUCACGUGGUCACACAAAGUUCCGGCUACAGAAUAUUCCACAACCUGAUCGUUGUCUACAAGUAGGAAGUGUGUCUUCAACAACUUAAAUGUGAAAUAUACUCACUGUACCAGUCACUUGGUCACACAAAGUUCCGGCUACAGAAUAUUCUACAACCUGAUCGUUGUCUACAAGUAGGAAGUGUGUCUUCAACAACUUAAAUGUGAAAUAUACUCACUGUACCAGUCACUUGGUCACACAAAGUUCCGGCUACAGAAUAUUCCACAACCUGAUCGUUGUCUACAAGUAGGAAGUGUGUCUUCAACAACUUAAAUGUGAAAUAUACUCACUGUACCAGUCACGUGGUCACACAGAGUUCCGGCUACAGA
Magallana angulata is the source of this 480-nucleotide long non-coding RNA. RefSeq lists it as uncharacterized. The transcript is spliced from 5 exons. NCBI's taxonomy places the organism in Eukaryota, Metazoa, Mollusca, Bivalvia, Ostreida, Ostreidae. The record is from RefSeq and is a predicted model, not a curated record.